GAUGAAGAACGCAGCGAAAUGCGAUAAGUAAUGUGAAUUGCAGAAUUCAGUGAAUCAUCGAAUCUUUGAACGCACAUUGCGCCCGCCAGUAUUCUGGCGGGCAUGCCUGUUCGAGCGUCAUUUCAACCAUCAAGCCCCGGGCUUGUGUUGGGCACCUGCGGCUGCCGCAGGCCCUGAAAUGCAGUGGCGGGCUCGCUGUCACUCCGAGCGUAGUAGUUACAUCUCGCUCUGGGCGUGCUGCGGGUUCCGGCCGUUAAAAGCCUUAUUUACCCAAGGUUGACCUCGGAUCAGGUAGGAAGACCCGCUGAACUUAAGCAUAUCAAUAAGCGGAGGA
This 334-nucleotide unclassified non-coding RNA is filed under the name soil metagenome. RNAcentral describes it as "partial contains 5.8S ribosomal RNA, internal transcribed spacer 2, and large subunit ribosomal RNA". The stretch from base 1 to 120 matches the Rfam family "5.8S ribosomal RNA", at positions 35 to 154 of the family's 154-position model. The record is from RNAcentral.